UACGGAGGGGGCGAGCGUUGUCCGAAGUUACUGGGCGUAAAGCGCGUGUAGGCGGGUUGCCAAGUCCGCUGUGAAAGCCCGAGGCUCAACCUCGGAGGGUCGGUGGAUACUGGCAGUCUUGAAGUUGCUAGGGGGAGAUGGAAUUACCGGUGUAGCGGUGAAAUUCGUAGAUAUCGGGAGGAACACCGGUGGCGAAGGCGGCGACCUGGGUAGAUACUGACGCUGAGGUGCGAAAGCGUGGGGAGCGAACAGG
Molecule: ribosomal RNA, 253 nt
Filed under: uncultured bacterium
Lineage: Bacteria
Description: partial 16S ribosomal RNA
Rfam family: Bacterial small subunit ribosomal RNA
Source: RNAcentral